Long non-coding RNA from Megalobrama amblycephala (Wuchang bream), 1896 nucleotides. RefSeq lists it as uncharacterized. Lineage: Eukaryota; Metazoa; Chordata; Actinopteri; Cypriniformes; Xenocyprididae. The transcript has 2 exons. The record is from RefSeq and is a predicted model, not a curated record.
UUAAUAUAGUUUCAUCUGACCAUAGAAGCCGGUCCCGUUUGAAGUUCCAGUCUUGUCUGACAACUAAAUAUACUGGAGAUUCACUCUAAAAACUCCUGGGUUAUUUCUUUAACCCAUUUUCUGGGUUAUUUGUGUUGGGUUAAAAUUAUGGGUUAUUUUUUCAGAGAGUAACCAUUUUCUGGGAUAUAGGGCUAAUAUUUUGACCCAAUUCCUGAGUUGUUUAGGUUUCUGGGUUAUUUUUCAAAGAGUAACCCAUGUUCUGGGUUCACGCCCCUUCCCCCCGCCCCCCGCUGUUGUUCUGGAAUUUUCUCACAACAGUCGUUUGAAAUAACUGUCACUUGAACUUGAACACGAUCGAUCCUUUUUGGCCUGGUCUUCUUCGGUGCAACUUCGUCGCAUAUUCAAGGUAAGCAAGUAUUCAGUGUCAAUGUAACGUAAACUUUUCUGUGUCCAUGUCCCCGUUGCUUGUUUAACACCAUUUGCUGAAAAAAAUUACCAUGGCUUACCGUGGUAAUUCUGUGGUUAGCAUGUAGCCGCCCGCGGAUAUCGCGACAACAUCUAGUUUAAAGUCCGUGUAAAGUCAAAAUAAAUAUGUGUUUAUAUGUGUUUACUUUCUUUAAGUCAGACUAAAUAAGAAAGUGUUAUUAACCACCCAGCCAAAUUUGAAUGAUUAAAAAUAACGAUAAGUUCAUUAAAUUAGGUGUCAAAAUGGUUUAAAUGCUUUUUACACAUUGUUGAGAAAUACAUAUAUGACCUAUUUAAUGUGUUUAGAAGAAAAUGACUGAAUUCACUUUACACGGUCUUUAAAUUCUAUUUUUUCAUAAACUGUGCUGUACUUAUCUCAUUGUUAUAAUACUGGUAAUAAUACGAUAAGUACAGUGCAGCUAGUGGCGACUUCAUGCCGUGUUAAGGGGGUCGAACACCGGACGUGAAGCGCCGCGCUGCGCCGCGUCUAGGACAACUCGAGGUAUCGCGUACUUUCUCAGUUUAUGGCCAGCAAUAUUGUUAUGUUUAAGGACAUUAUGGAAUUAAGAUCAUGCUGAGUCUGCAGUCUGAACACUUUAUCUCAGAGCGUCCGUUAACUGAAUGAAUUGAGAAUAUCACCUGAAAAUCCAAUAACAUCAGCAAUUUUCAUUCAAGCAGCUGAUUUCUGUAAAUUAAUGUAAAACUAACAUUUAUAUUGCAGCACAUGGUGAAGUCAGUAUAAACAUUAACAACGAUUUGAGACAAAUAAGUGUAAAUUUAAUAUAAAUCUAUGUACAUGGCGCUCUGUGGCGCUGCAGGAUUUUGAACAAGGUCCUGAACCGUUGCUGGGCGCCGCCGGUGUGUGUACGCUCAUAGAGAAUAAUGUGUUUGAAUUUUUAAAUACGCUUCUCGUCCGAUGUGCGACCCCCUUUAAGGGCCGCGGCUAGAGCGAGGAGGCAACACAAUAGUUGAGUUAUGUUAACCAGCUGUGCUGUGCUUAUCAUAUUAUACAGUGCUCUACUGGCUUAAGUAGUGAGAGUUAAAGAAGCGUGUCAAGUCUUCAAAUUGUUGCUAACCUCUAUUGCUAUAUGUUUUCUCCAGGUCAUUUUAAAUGGACAGCUUUGUCGCUGAUAAGCUAACUGAGUGGUGGCUGUCUGAGCUGAUAGAGAAUUUUAGAGGUGAAGACAUAGAUGAGGAGGCACUUCUUCUCUUAGAUGAGGACACUAUCAAAAAUCUUGUCCCUCAAGUUCAAUCCAGUUAUUCAAUGUUGUCAAAUGUUUUAGAGAGAAUGAGUUGUUUAUUUUUCUAUUUUUUUCUAAUGUCUAAUGUUAUUACAGUGUGACCUAAAAUAAAUAGGUCCAAGUGUGUGUGUUUUUUUUUUAUAUAGAGUUUAAUUUAAUUGAAUGGAAUAAAAAUGUAAAAGUGCUUGAA